This 390-nucleotide ribosomal RNA is filed under the name uncultured bacterium. RNAcentral describes it as "bacterial SSU rRNA". It matches the Rfam family "Bacterial small subunit ribosomal RNA", at positions 419 to 793 of the family's 1533-position model. The record is from RNAcentral.
CGGGUUGUAAAGCACUUUCAGUAGGGAGGAAGGUAGUGUAGUUAACACCUGCAUUAUUUGACGUUACCUACAGAAGAAGCACCGGCUAACUCCGUGCCAGCAGCCGCGGUAAUACGGAGGGUGCGAGCGUUAAUCGGAAUUACUGGGCGUAAAGCGCAUGCAGGCGGCCUGUUAAGUCAGAUGUGAAAGACCCGGGGCGUUAACCUCGGAAUUGCAUUUGUAAACUAGGCAGGCUAGAGUCUUGUAGAGGGGGGUAGGAAGUUUCAGGUGUAGCGGUGAAAUAGCGUAGAGAUCUGAAGGAAUACCAGUGGCGAAGGCGGCCCCCUCGGACAAAGACUGACGCUCAGAUGCGAAAGCGUGGGGAGCAAACAGGAUUAGAUACCCUGGUAG